GACAGAGGAUGCAAGCGUUAUCCGGAAUGAUUGGGCGUAAAGCGUCUGUAGGUGGCUUUUUAAGUCCGCCGUCAAAUCCCAGGGCUCAACCCUGGACAGGCGGUGGAAACUACCAAGCUGGAGUACGGUAGGGGCAGAGGGAAUUUCCGGUGGAGCGGUGAAAUGCGUAGAGAUCGGAAAGAACACCAACGGCGAAAGCAGCUCGCUGGGACGGUACUGACGCUGAGACGCGAAAGCGUGGGGAGCAAACAAG
This 253-nucleotide ribosomal RNA is filed under the name uncultured bacterium. RNAcentral describes it as "partial 16S ribosomal RNA". It matches the Rfam family "Bacterial small subunit ribosomal RNA", at positions 524 to 776 of the family's 1533-position model. The record is from RNAcentral.